Molecule: ribosomal RNA, 468 nt
Filed under: uncultured bacterium
Lineage: Bacteria
Description: partial 16S ribosomal RNA
Rfam family: Bacterial small subunit ribosomal RNA
Source: RNAcentral
GACGAACGCUGGCGGCGUGCUUAACACAUGCAAGUCGAACGGAAAGGCCCUGCUUUUGUGGUGUGCUCGAGUGGCGAACGGGUGAGUAACACGUGAGUAACCUGCCCUUGACUUUGGGAUAACUUCACGAAACUGGGGCUAAUACCGUAUAGGAGAUCCCCCUGGAUGGUGGGGGUUGGAAAGUUUCGGCGGUUGGGGAUGGACUCGCGGCUUAUCAGCUUGUUGGUGGGGUAGUGGCUUACCAAGGCUUUGACGGGUAGCCGGCCUGUGAGGGUGACCGGCCACAUUGGGACUGAGAUACGGCCCAGACUCCUACGGGAGGCAGCAGUGGGGAAUAUUGCACAAUGGGAGGGAGCCUGAUGAAGAAACGCCGCGUGCGGGAUGACGGCCUUCGGGUUGUAAACCGCUUUCGCCUGUGACGAAGCGUGAGUGACGGUAAUGGGUAAAGAAGCACCGGCUAACUACGUG